This 212-nucleotide ribosomal RNA is filed under the name uncultured bacterium. Its description in RNAcentral is "partial 16S ribosomal RNA". It matches the Rfam family "Bacterial small subunit ribosomal RNA", at positions 1289 to 1500 of the family's 1533-position model. The record is from RNAcentral.
CAGUUCGGAUUGUAGUCUGCAACUCGACUACAUGAAGCUGGAAUCGCUAGUAAUCGCGAAUCAGCGUGUCGCGGUGAAUACGUUCCCGGGUCUUGUACACACCGCCCGUCACACCAUGGGAGUCGGAAAUGCCCGAAGUCAGUGACCCAACCGUAAGGAGGGAGCUGCCGAAGGUGGAGCCGGUAACUGGGGUGAAGUCGUAACAAGGUAAC